CAGCACCUCAAGUGGUCAGGAUGAUUAUUGGGCCUAAAGCGUCCGUAGCCGGCGCUGUAAGUUUUCGGUUAAAUCUGUACGCUCAACGUACGGGCUGCCGGGAAUACUGCAGCGCUAGGGAGUGGGAGAGGUAGACGGUACUCGGUAGGAAGGGGUAAAAUCCUUUGAUCUAUUGAUGACCACCUGUGGCGAAGGCGGUCUACCAGAACACGUCCGACGGUGAGGGAUGAAAGCUGGGGGAGCAAACCGGAUUAGAUACCCGAGUAGUCC
This 270-nucleotide ribosomal RNA is filed under the name uncultured archaeon. Its description in RNAcentral is "partial 16S ribosomal RNA". It matches the Rfam family "Archaeal small subunit ribosomal RNA", at positions 477 to 747 of the family's 1478-position model. The record is from RNAcentral.